This 694-nucleotide long non-coding RNA is filed under the name Monodelphis domestica (gray short-tailed opossum). Its description in RNAcentral is "lncRNA (ENSMODG00000046590.1)". The record is from RNAcentral. Lineage: Eukaryota; Metazoa; Chordata; Mammalia; Didelphimorphia; Didelphidae.
UCUGGCCCCAACCACACCCAAACAGAAAUCCCCAUUAUGAUAUACCUUCCAAGCAGUCCUUUUGCCUAAAGCUCUCUAGUGAUGAGAGCCAAACAAAAAGCCCCUUUACCAAACCCUGAGCACUAAGCAAAGAGAAUCAUCCCCUACAAGAGGGAAGUGCCUGGAAGCAUUUUGUGUCAAACCAAGAAGUAAUUAGAUGUCCAGACAGACAUCCACUAACAUCCACCCAAACCCUACUGUGCAUCAAAGCUUCACUGAACCCUUUGCUAGGACUUCUUCACUUCAACUCGGUCCAAGAUGGAGCCACACAGAGGAAGAAGCAGAUAACUUGUCCUUCCCCCACCACAAACAAAAGCAAGAAGAACAGGAGGGAAGGCAAGGAAUUGCGUCCAGCAGAUUAACAGUCCCUUGAUGUUUGGACACUUCCCAGUAGCUCCAUGAGUUUUGAUGUUGAUUUGGGACUUUGAGUUCUCUUGUCUGUGUAUCCUCAGCCUCCCAUAAUGGCUACCUUUCUUCCUCUGAGGUGACCAUGACAAUCAGCAGCACUGAUAGCAGCUCUCCUUCUUCAAGGGGAACCAAUGUGCUAAUGAAGAUUGCCCAGUGGUGUCUGGCACAUCCGAUUCAAUGCAUUCUCCGACUCCCAUUAGAGAGAUAUUUCAAUAAAGAGUGCUUUGUGUGUUGAUUUUCCCUCGUG